UACGUAGGGGGCAAGCGUUGUCCGGAAUCAUUGGGCGUAAAGAGCGUGUAGGCGGCCCGGUAAGUCCGCUGUGAAAGUCCAGGGCUCAACCCUGGGAUGCCGGUGGAUACUGUCGGGCUCGAGUCCGGGAAGAGGAGUGUGGAAUUCCUGGUGUAGCGGUGAAAUGCGCAGAUAUCAGGAGGAACACCGGUGGCGAAGGCGGGUCUCUGGGCAACAACGUGACGCUGGAGGAGCGAAAGCGUGGGGAGCGAACAGGA
RNAcentral lists this ribosomal RNA (257 nucleotides) under uncultured bacterium. RNAcentral's name for it is "partial 16S ribosomal RNA". It matches the Rfam family "Bacterial small subunit ribosomal RNA", at positions 524 to 777 of the family's 1533-position model. The record is from RNAcentral.